AUAAGGAGUCGGACCUGCCCAGUGAUGAAUUUAAACGGCCGCGGUACUUUGACCGUGCAAAGGUAGCAUAAUCAUUUGCCUUAUAAUUGAAGGCUAGUAUGAAUGGUUUGACAAGAAUAAAGCUGUCUCUAUUGUAAUUAUGUAGAACUUUAUUUUUAGGUGAAGAAGCCUAUAUAAAAUUAAAAGACAAGAAGACCCUAUCGAGCUUUAAAGAAAUUGAUAAAAUAAAAAUAUAAUAUAUAAAUUUACGUUUGUUGAAAAUUUUGGUUGGGGCGACUGAGGAACAUAUAAAGCUUCCUUGUAAGGUAAUUACAUACAUGUAUUGAUCCAAAAGUUUUGAUUAAAGAAAUUAGUUACCGUAGGGAUAACAGCAUUAUCUUUUUUGAGAGCUCAUAUCGAAAAAAAGGUUUGUGACCUCGAUGUUGGACCAGAAUAUCCUAAAGAUGCAGAAGUUUUUAAGGGUUGGUCUGUUCGACCAUUAAAAUUCUA
RNAcentral lists this ribosomal RNA (489 nucleotides) under Monoplex pilearis. RNAcentral's name for it is "partial 16S ribosomal RNA". It matches the Rfam family "Bacterial large subunit ribosomal RNA", at positions 1845 to 2598 of the family's 2925-position model. The record is from RNAcentral. Lineage: Eukaryota; Metazoa; Mollusca; Gastropoda; Littorinimorpha; Ranellidae.